Molecule: microRNA precursor, 96 nt
Filed under: Aedes aegypti (yellow fever mosquito)
Lineage: Eukaryota; Metazoa; Arthropoda; Insecta; Diptera; Culicidae
Description: Aae-Mir-306_pre stem-loop
Source: RNAcentral
UCAGGUACUGAGUGACUCUCAGAUGUGCAUUUCUCAAGCAAUCUCGUCCUCAGGACCUGAGGUUGAAAAACCCUGAGAGCACCUCGGUAUCUAAGC